This is a ribosomal RNA of 2854 nucleotides. The stretch from base 458 to 2840 matches the Rfam family "Eukaryotic large subunit ribosomal RNA".
GUAAUGUUCAUAGAAUGCUUAGAAUAUUUUUUAGAGUCUACGUCGGCUUUGCUACAACAGCAAUCUUUCGUUACAAGGUUCUGAAUAGAUUACUGAGUAUCUUGACUUUCGUUUUGCAUUUUAAUAAUAUUGUUUCACUGUUUUAUUCAUUAGAUCUAUUAAAUAUGAGUUUGUUGAUUGUUUUUGCUUUCGUUUCAUCUAAAAUAAUGUUAGCGUAGAAACCCUAGUUCUUGAUUCAACGAAUCAAGAAAAUGUAGUUCAUGAAAAUACUCUGGGAUACACGUAGACCCUUUGCAUGGAUUUCGAAGGCACAUGCGUAGGGAUCUACUAUUUUAAAUCCAUUUUAACUUGUUUCGAAAAUGAAAAUAUUUAACCAUAUUCAUUUGAAAUCAUUGGUAUUGGUUUUCGAGUAUAAUUUUCUAAAUAUUUUUGGACAAGGUUAAAAUACUUCUUGAAUAGAACUCUGAUUCCGUUUGUUUGAAAAGUUUUCGAAAACAAAGACCUUUAACCAUAUUUGUUUGAAAUCGCUAGUACUGGUUUUUGAUUCAAACAUUGAUUUAUAUUUUUGAGCAAAUUAAAAAUAGAGUUUGAGAUCAAUUUUGAUUUCAAUUUUUUGGAAACUUUCGGAAACAAAAAUCUUUAACCAUAUUCAUUUGAAAUCGCUGGUACUGGAUUUUGAUUUAUAUGUUCUUAAUAAUUCUCAAAUAAAACCGAAUUUCAAUUUUGAAAGUAAACAGCCCAAAGUAAAGUAGUGAACUAUCUUGGCUUGCAAGUUGAAUCAAGGACUUCUUCAUUAUUGAUUUCAUUAUUCAAGUUUGUUAUUUAAUUUUAUUUAUGAGUAAAUUUAUUUGCUUAAUUUAGAAUAGAUGGUUUGCUUGCACUUUAAAAUUAAAUUGAAUUUCUUUACUUAAUAUUUAAGUCAUUUAGAACUUAAAUAAAAACUGUGUAAUAAAUUUUGUGAACAAGUCUAGAGCUUUUAACCAAAUCCUCCAUGUGGAGAUGACCUCGGUACUCACCGAGUUUAAAACAAUGACUACCCUCUUACACUUGAGAAGUAGAACCCUUAACACAUUUCAGGGUCGGUCAAGCGACUGAUGGUAACGUUAGGGAUUCUAGAGACGUUGACGGGGGCCUUAGAAAGAGUUAUCGUUUCGAUUUAAUAGCCCCCCACCUUGGAAACGGCUCAACCGGAGAUAGGGUCCAGAGACUAGAAGAGCACCGCACAUCAUGUGGUGUUCACUGUGCCUCGGGCAGCCCUUCAAAAUUCUAAGGAUCGAGUGCCUCCCACGCCUAAUCGUACUCACAACUACAUCAGGUCUUCAAGGUGAACAACCUCUGGACAAUGGAACAAUGUAGGCAAUGGAAAUUGAUAAAAUGGAUCUAUAACUUUGGGAAAAGGUUUGGCUUUGAAGGUUGGGCAUGGGGGCCCCAGUCCCAAACCCAUCGACUGUCGAUGGACUACUCGAGCUGCUCCUGCCACGAGAGUAGGUCACAGCGUGCCGACCACAGGACAGACUGGGAGCAGCUCCUCACGGGGUCUUCUCUAGGCGUCUAAUAGUUGACUCAGAACUAGCACAGACAAGGGGAAUCCGACUGUUUAAUUAAGACAAAGCAUUGUGAUGGGAUGCUUAUGCAAUGUGAUUUUUGCGAUCUGCUAUAAAUGUCAAAAUGAAGAAAUUCAACCAACUGUGGGUAACCAACUGGAUAACUAUGACUCUCUUAAGGGAGCCAAAUAUCUUGUCAUCUAAUUAGUGACGUGCAUGAAUGGAUUAACGAGAUUCCCACAGUCCCUAUCUACUAUCUAGCGAAACCACAAAUAAGAAAAUGAGCUUGGUAGAAUUAGCGGGGAAAAGACGUUGUUGAGCUUGACUCUAGUCUGACUUUGUGAAACGACUUGAGAGGUGUAGGAAAAGUGAGAGCUGGAAAUCAUGAAAGUAAAAUACCUCUACUUUUAAUGUUAUUUUACUUAUAUCAUGAGUCAAAGGUGGGGCACUACCCUCUUUUUGGACUGGAGGCCUGCCUUGGUGAGCCGAUCUUGGCGGAAGACAUUGUCAGGUGGGGAGUUUUGCUGGGGUGGCAUAUUUGUUAAAAGAUAACGCAGGUGUCUUAAGACAAGCUCAACGAGAGCAGAAAUCUCGUGGGGAAUAGAAGGGUAAAAGCUCAUUUGGUUUUGUCUUCCAGUAUGAAUAGAAACUGUGAAAGCAUGGCCUAAGGAUCCUUUAGACCUUCGAAAUUUGAAACUGGAGGUGUCUAAAAAGUAACCAUAGAAAUAACUAGCUUGUGGCAUCCAAGCGUUCAUAACGAUGUUUCUUUUUCAUCUUUCGAUGUCGGCUCUUCCUGUCAUUGUGAAGCAAAAUUCACCCAAGUGUUGGAUUGUUCUCCCACCAAUAGGGAACAUGAGCUAGGUUUAGACCAUCGUGAGACAGGAUAGUUUUACCUUACUGAUGAUGGUGUCACAAUAGUAAUUCAACCUAGUACGAGAGGAAUCAUUGAUUCACACAAUUGGUCACCGUGUUUAGUUGAAAAGCCAGUGGCGUGAAGCUACCCUGCGCUGGAUUAUGACUGAACACCUCUAAGUCAGAAUUUGGGCUAGAAGUAUGCGUGUGCCCGCCGUUCGUUUACCGACCAGCAGUAGGUGUCAUUCAGCCCCUAAAGGCAUGUGUUGUUGGUGAAAUUUACGUGAAGAACGAGCCGCGUGGGCCGCCUUAAAGUAUAUUCCUAUCGAACGACAAGUAGAAUCAUUUGCAAAUGACUUAAAUAUGUGACGGGGUAUUAUAAGUGGUAGACUGGCCUUGCUACCACGAUCCACUGAGAUUCAACCCUUUGUCGCUUCGAUUGAUCUCUCCCCCUAGCA